Molecule: long non-coding RNA, 1133 nt
Organism: Cephus cinctus (wheat stem sawfly)
Lineage: Eukaryota; Metazoa; Arthropoda; Insecta; Hymenoptera; Cephidae
Exons: 2
Source: RefSeq, a predicted model, not a curated record
AAACAUAAUAUGCACGUGUAAUUUUCUUGACGUGAUCCUCAAUGAGAUUCCUGGAAGCGAUGGUGGCGACAAUCGGGAUCCGAUACGUGCGACGGGAUCAGCUCGACUGCUCGAGAAUAUUGGACAAUUUUACAGUGCCGUUCGCUCUCUCCGACUCAUGGAGGAUUAUCAGAAUUAGUCAUCGUUGUGACGUGUCGUGGAUACCUGACCAAUCGCUGAGCGGGACGUGGGGAAAUUGCCUUAUAUGGGCAGAGGCAUGCAACUGGCAGACACAUUUGACUCGCGCUGUUGCGCACGCAUGCGACCGUUUACGAAUAGAUUGUCAGUUUUAAAAGAAUUUUUGGUAUCGCCACUCGAUGGCAGCACACUGAUAAAAACUUUUUGAAUUACUGGUUUUAUAUAUAUAAAAAAAAGGAUUGUAUUUAUGUCGAAAUUAUAAUAGAGAGUGUCAGUGUUAUCUUAGGUACGUUACAAAAGCAUUAGUAUUACAAUAAAGAACAAUUGUUGUAUAUUCGUAUAUUUUAUUUGGUAUUAUUUGACAUACUUAGUCAUAUUGAUAAGAGAUGGCGCCAUAUGUGAUAGAAACCAAAUAGUAGGAAUCAUUUUAAAUAUUUGAAAACUGAUAAAAUAAUCGUAAUAUUAAUCAUCGCAUAACUUCAUUUACUCAUUAAUUUUUGCGAAUCUUCUAAUUAUAAACUAUAAAAUCAUCUGAAAAAAGUUGAUCAGUCUUUGUCACGUCUGUAAAUCAAAUUGUAUUAUUGCGAAUGAAUUAUGAAAAUAGGGAUGACUUUUCAAACAUUAUUGUAUUGGCGCUAUAUGCUAUAAUACAUAAAGAUUUUGUAUACAUUAUUUUCCGUAGACGCAAUUGCAUGCGCGUGCAUUCAUGUACGUCGAAAUAUUCAUAUAGACACGUGUAUAUGUACAAACCCAUAUUUUACCACACUAUAUUUAAAAGACGUACGUACCAGAAAUGAUAAGUUAACAAGUCACAAGUUACAAAGUCCAUUCAAGCCAAUAAGUAUUUAUCGCAUUCGUAUUGAUCCUCCUCAGUAUUUUAUGACCCUUAUAUCAUAGGACACAAGAUACUGUUUAAUUUUCUUUGCCUAAUUCAAAAUAAAGGUACCGUAUAUAUA